UACGUAGGGGGCGAGCGUUGUCCGGAUUUACUGGGCGUAAAGCGCGUGUAGGCGGCCGGAUAAGUCGGGUGUGAAAGCCCGGGGCUCAACCCCGGGAUGCCGCCCGAGACUGCUCGGCUUGAGGACGGAAGAGGGGAGUGGAAUUCCUGGUGUACCGGUGGGAUGCGUAGAGAUCAGGAGGAACACCCGUGGCGAAGGCGGCUCCCUGGUCCGUCCCUGACGCUGAGACGCGGAAGCGCGGGGAGCGAACGGG
Molecule: ribosomal RNA, 253 nt
Filed under: uncultured bacterium
Lineage: Bacteria
Description: partial 16S ribosomal RNA
Rfam family: Bacterial small subunit ribosomal RNA
Source: RNAcentral